Molecule: long non-coding RNA, 527 nt
Filed under: Callithrix jacchus (white-tufted-ear marmoset)
Lineage: Eukaryota; Metazoa; Chordata; Mammalia; Primates; Cebidae
Description: lncRNA (ENSCJAG00000057203.2)
Source: RNAcentral
CUUAAAAUGUGGAGAGUGGCUGGGUACGGUGGCUCACACCUGUAAUCCCAGCACUUUAGGAGGCUGAGGCAGGUGGAUCACGAGAGUUACAAAUGCACUUAAAAAAGGAAAUAUAUCUCUUUCACAAAUGGGUAUGAUUGUCAAUUGCUAUAAAGGAAGAAGAAGGAUUGCAAGAGUUUGGCAAAUGGAGCAUUUUCCAACGAGUCUGAGUGUCUGGAUCAUGGGCCUGUGAAUCCCUAAGUCCUUUGAAGGUGUGGAUGCCCCAUAUCUGCUGACUCAGAGCUGGCCAGCUCUCACCUCCUCAGGUGCUGCCUUUUCUCCUGUGCAGCAAAGAAGAUGAGGCCCAGAAACCUCCAAGCUGCCCCCAAGGCACAAGAGCAGACCUUCAGCUGUUCUCCCAGGGGAGUAGGCUGGAGUGCUGUGGCUUGAUUUUGAUCUCAGCUCAUUGCAACCUCCACCUCCUGGGCUCAAGUGAUCCUCCCACCUCCAUCACCCGAAUACUGGAACAACUGGUGAGUGCCACCACA